UGGGGAAUAUUGCGCAAUGGACGCAAGUCUGACGGAGCAACGCCGCGUGAGUGAUGAAGGUUUUCGGAUCGUAAAGCUCUGUUGCCCUAGACGAACAGCAAGAGGAGUAACUGCCUUUUGUGUGACGGUAUAGGAGAAGAAAGCCCCGGCUAACUACGUGCCAGCAGCCGCGGUAAUACGUAGGGGGCAAGCGUUGUCCGGAAUUAUUGGGCGUAAAGCGCGCGCAGGCGGUCAUUUAAGUCUGGUGUUUAAGCCCGGGGCUCAACCCC
This 269-nucleotide ribosomal RNA is filed under the name uncultured Paenibacillus sp. Its description in RNAcentral is "partial 16S ribosomal RNA". It matches the Rfam family "Bacterial small subunit ribosomal RNA", at positions 355 to 616 of the family's 1533-position model. Lineage: Bacteria; Bacillati; Bacillota; Bacilli; Caryophanales; Paenibacillaceae. The record is from RNAcentral.